CAGUCGCCGCGGUAAUACAGAGGGUGCGAGCGUUAAUCGGAUUUACUGGGCGUAAAGCGUGCGUAGGCGGCUUUUUAAGUCAGAUGUGAAAUCCCUGAGCUUAACUUAGGAAUUGCAUUCGAUACUGGGAAGCUAGAGUAUGGGAGAGGAUGGUAGAAUUCCAGGUGUAGCGGUGAAAUGCGUAGAGAUCUGGAGGAAUACCGAUGGCGAAGGCAGCCAUCUGGCCUAAUACUGACGCUGAGGUACGAAAGCAUGGGGAGCAAACAGGAUUAGAGACCCCAGUAGUCCCUGUCUCUUAUAC
This 301-nucleotide ribosomal RNA is filed under the name uncultured bacterium. RNAcentral's name for it is "partial 16S ribosomal RNA". It matches the Rfam family "Bacterial small subunit ribosomal RNA", at positions 509 to 807 of the family's 1533-position model. The record is from RNAcentral.